GCACCACCGCUGUGUGGGCAGGGCGGCAGGCGUGGUGACGGUUGACUGCCGCAAGCGUAUGUUUAAGUUGCUUGGGUGCAAGUGCUGUGUGCUGCCCUGCAAUGGGCCUCGCCUCUUGUCUGCAAUACCCACCCAGUCAUCUGUACCGCCUCUGCCACGUGCUAACACCCCAUGGCCGGCCAUGUGCGCCGCUCGCUUGCUCCCUGCCCCGCAGCGUGCGUAUCCUGAACGAGGAGGGGCCGGACGGGCAGCCCGGCUUCCGGUCCGCGCACCCGCACGGCACCGUGCCAUACAUGCCACCUGGUGAGCGGGUGCGGAUGGACGCAGCCGUCAUCAUCAUGGGAACCCGCCUACCUUGUCCCGCGCUGCGCCAGCUGCCAGCUGCCAGCUGCCUGUUGCGCAGCGCGCGCAGGUCUUGCGUGCGCUUCUUGCGCAUGAGGGCCAUCACCUCAGCAGAACACCUGCAAUCGGGCUUGCCUGACAUUUUGCUUGGCCCGCUGCUGCGUACGUCAACCUCCUGCCUGCCGCGAACAGAGUGCUUCCUGGGCGCCCGCAUGCUGCUGGGCACCUCAGUGGACGUGUACGGUGAGUGCGACUGGGAACAGCUGCAUGCAUGUGUAUGUGGUGCAUGGGGCCGAUUGAUGUGGAGUAGCAGCCUCAUAGCGCCAGCCUGGUUAGCCCACUGCGCUCUUGGCUAACCAGCUGUUGCGGUUGCUGCUGCCUGUGUGCAUGGCUAUCGACGGUGCCUGUACCCCUGACAGCGUUUGGAGUGCUGAUGUGGUGAGUGCGCAGGCAGACACGCGGUGUCAUUUCCGCGCCUGACCUUCUGUACUGCUUUGCUUUGCUUGUCAGCUCUGUUGCUGUGCUUUUCCUGUUGACGUACGCACACGGUCUGUUCUCAGUACCAGCUCUGCCUUGCCUACUUAGUGCUGUCGCUGCUGACGUGGCUAUCGCUGCUGUCUGUUGUGUAAGGGCCACCCCUCUGACCUACCUCCUGCUGCGUGCCUGCUGCCUCGGUCUGCAGGGAGCUCCUGUACGCACGGACGCCUUUCAAGGGCAUGGAGAAGAAGGCAAGCCAUGGCGCGCGCGUGCAUUCCUGGCCAUCAGUGGUCUUACCAGGCGGGGUCUCACUACUACCGUGCUGGACUCUUUUCCUGCCUCACCUGCCGCCCGCUGCCCCCCAUCCACCACAGGACAUCGCCUUCCAGGUGGUCCACGCCGGCCUGCGCCCCGCCUUCCAGCCCCUGGCGCCGCCCGCCUACGUGCACCUGGCGGAGUGCUGCAUGGCGGCGCAGCCCCGGGCCAGGCCCACUGCGCUGGCGCUGGUGGCGGAGUUGCAGCAGCUGCUGGCGGAGGCGGUGGAGGCGGAGGGCGGCGGAGGGCGCGGCGUCUCCGUGGCGCUUGCCAUGCAGCUGUCUGCUGUGAGCUAGACUGAACGGUGGAAUCAUGUAGGUUACGCUGCAGGAUCCGGAGUAGUAGACCAGUGCCUAUCUACACAUGCAGUACUGUAGUAUGAUGGGCACUGCGGCAAGGCGGAGCACAUUGCUACUGUUGCGCUAGCUGUUUGUGAUGACAGCACCACUCGCUCAUUCGGAACGCGACUGCCCGCCACGGUACCUAGCACAUUGGGUGGUGCUCGGAUUCUCGCAAGCAAUGCGUGAGGCACGCUCAUGCAUCGAAGAAGCUAAGAGAUGCAUCGUGUUUGGGGCAGCAGUACAAAGACGACGUGACGUGCUUGUGUUGCAUAUCGAGUGCGCUACGCUUGCCUAGUGUCGGUCAGAUAAGACAGCGGCAGUACGGUGUGCGCGUGGGGAGCGCCGGAGAGCAUGCCUAGCUCAGCGCAAGCUCGCUGUUCUUCACAGCUUAAUUAUUGCGCAGUUAUCACAUGUACAGUUUAUUGUUAGUCUAUUGCGAAGUUAAGUUCUUCUGUUGAUGCUUUGCAACACGCGGAACAGUAUGGUGAGUGGCCAAGGCCCCAGGGGCUUGGGGUGUCGGGUUUGAAUGGGACCUCGAGCAUUGUCAUUCAUGCUGCAGUACCUCCAACUGCUAAGUAUGCAGUCUAUGGUGUGGUGCCAUUUGCAGACUUCGUGGGAAUGAGGGCGGAGCCAUUGGAUGCAUGUACUGGGGCUGGGGUCGGGGGCAACCAAGGGUAUACUGUCAUGGUGGAUGUUGUCAUGGUUGCGCGGGGCAUCGCCCAAAUGGCCCAAAUUGCGUAAUUCAGAACAGUAGGAUAGCAGGGUGUGUGAAUAUUUGUAAAAUAAUCAACAUGUGUGUGUGUGAGUUGGUGUGUGUGUCUGUGUGCAUGCGUGCGUGCGUGUGAGUGAGAGAGGAUACAUGAUGGAUAAAGUAUGCCAUGUGGCACGAGUGGGAGAGCGUGUGUGUGCAUCGUAUGUCGUAGUGAAGCGGGCACAGGGGCUAAUGGAACAGAACAAACCGCAGAUGUAGGGUGUGUUACAGAUCACAGCAAAGACUGAGUGGGUCAGCGGUGUGGGUCAGGGGAUCCCCUGGUGUGGGUGUUACGGCACUGUGCGUAUGUGCAGGGGUGUGCAUCCCCGCGUAUGUGCGCGUCAAUUUAUGUACACUUGCGCAGAUUUGGGGUAUCGGGUGCAAAGCACGUGCUCGGCCGGUCGACUCGUAUGUAUAACUUUCUCUGCUUAGGGUCUAGCAAGGGACGAGCCCUGCUGCCCCCAUGCUGUACUGCUGCUGCUGAUAAGGAUAUCACAAGGUGUGCAUCUUGGAGCCGUCCUUGUUGGCAGGCGCCGUGACUCCGUGAGGCCGUGUGGGUCUGGUUACCUCGGCUCCUUUGGGAAGUGCGGGCUGUCUCCCUCCCUCCCGCGGAAGCCCCGAUUGGCGAUUGCUCACACGAACCAAAUCCUGGGCGGAGGACUAUCCAGGGGAUUCGUAUUCUAGUGUCAGGGUCAGGAGGCGUUAGCAACGGAUUAGGUGCCUGGCUUGCGGUCAAGGCCGGACAGAACCAUGUAACCCACUGCCAUGCCCCCCUGUGCUUGUCACGAUCACUUUAGCAGGCUUCAGCUUCACACCGUACCCUGCAAUCGCAAGGUGGAGGGGUCGGGCAAAUUCCUGGGGUACGGGGCAAAAAGGCACAGGCGAGCUUCGCACUCAAAUAGCGUCCUUCAGUAGACUGCGUGCCCUGACCAGUGACCACACACCUACUACAGUGCCCUCCACGGGUGCGACAUGCCCCCACGGUGUCAGGGCCAUUCGUGGCUCUCGCCAGCACGCAUCACCGACCCAUGCAAACCGUGCAAACGGCACGCGGCCCGGCAUGUGCAAUGAGCUAGCAUGGAUAUCAGGAUCUGGUGGAUUCCUCUGAGCAGGCCGACGCAACCAUUUGGAAGGGCACUGUGGAUCUAGGUGGUACCGCUCGAGCGAGGCGAGCAAAGCCCAGAUCGGCCCCAGGCGCGUGUACCCUGGCGUACCCCGCGCCAACCGUACGUGGCGCCAACCGCUCAUAGGUAAAUGAAACGCCAGGACAUAGCAAAAGUUUCAAGAUUGACAAGCGCGAGAUUUUCUUCGCUGCUGUCCACCCUAUGGCUCGGUCGAAGGGAGGCGCAGGAGCAGCGGCAGCGGCAGUGUGAGGAGCUGACAGCGGCGGCCAUGGCCAAGCAGCGCGAACUGGAGGGCCUGACGGCCGCGUGUGAACGUCAGCGGCAGGAGUACACGGAAAAGGAGGAGCUGAUCGCGGCCAUGGAGGAGUACGUCACCCAGAAACAGACCAGUGGCAUGGCACUCCUCCGACAGCUCCAGACCGAUACGUCCAGUGCAGAGCAACAGCUGCAGCAGCUGCGCGGCCAGGUCGCGGCCGAGGCGCAGCGUCACCGGGAGGCGCAGGAGCAGCGGCAGCGGCAGUGUGAGAAGCCGCGCAACCUGAUGGAGCAGCUGCCGUUGCCGCAACAAAAGCCGUAUAGGCCCCCGCUCUUUUCCCGAUUCCUAUACCCUGAGGACCUGGAGGAGAUGUAGGAGCACUACUAGGCCUGACGGUGGUGGGUGACGGACGCUCAGUGGUGGGCCUGACGGGCGCUCAGUGGCAGUGUUGGGUACAGUUUGCUUGCGCCGCGAAAUGUGUGAGGCUGGGUGAUGCGUGCUGGGUGAGGCUGGGUGAUGCGUCGGAUGUGCAGGUGGAGAAGUAGGUGAAAUUUAACAAUGAUAUGCGCCAAGGGACAUGGGCGCUGAGGGAGGCUGGGUGAUGGGUGGUGCUGGGUGAUGCUGGGUGACGCUGGGUGAUGCGUGCUGGGUGAUCGUGCUGUCAACGAAGCAGCUUAGUUUCGCGGGUAACUGCGGGUAACUGUUUACAACUACCAGGUGCUCGCCACGCGAGGCGCAAUCUCACAAGUUAAAAGAGGUCUGGCUGACUCAUUGAGAGAAUUAUAUAAUUGUGAGCAAGCGCGAAAGUCUGACCGCAAACCCGGCUUGGCCUCGUGGUCUGCGCGCUCCCCUAAUCCCCUAAAGUCUUGCGACCGCGCAUUCUCAAUAUAUAUGAGUAUCAUACUCGGCGACGUACUGCCACACGGCGCCAAAAUGCAGCCACACUUGGAGCUCGCCGACGACGUUCUGGACCGUAUCUUCUUGCACCUGUCUCCAAAUGAGCUGUCGUCCAGUAUCCGGCUUCUGAGCAAGAGCUGGGCUGCCCGAUACGCAUAUAUGACCCACAUCAGCCUACGUGUCGCGGUGCCGCGCCAUGCCUUCCGCUGGCGCUUCACUGUCGCCAUUGCAGCUGCCCUGCCGCUGCGCACCCGCCGCGAGCUCCUGUGCGCCACGGCUGCCUCCGGGGACGUCUCCAACCUAGAGCAUGCGCUGGAGGUGACGGGGCUGGACCUGGGUGCCGCCGCCACCGCCACUGCCCUGCUGGCCGCGGCAGCUUGCGCGGAGCCGCCUGGCGGCAUGGCGGUGACGGCGUUCCUGCUGCACCGGAUGGGCCGCAGCCAGCAGCACCAGCAGGACACGCGGUCAGGGUGGCUGGGACAGCUGUGUCAGAGGUGUCACGCCUGGUGCAGUUCUGGCUCGAAAGCAUCACUGGUUGAGGUGGUCGAGCCCGCCCUGUGCGCGGCGGCGGCGGCAGGAUGGAAGGAGUCGUGCGCGCUGCUUCUGGGCCGGCUCAUGGGAGGUGGGGCCGGCCAGUGCAGCUCAGCGGACACGGAGGGUCAUGGAGAGGAGCUGAUCGAGGCGGAGACGUCCGCACAGAUUCCAGACAUAGGCCGCCGCCAGCAGCAACCGCUCGUGCUGCCGACAACAAUAGCACUUAGUCGGCACAUUGGGAAGGCAGUGCUGGCGGCGCUGCGAGGCGGCCACCUGCCGCUGGCGGCGUUGCUGCAGGAGCAACAGCACCAGCUGCACCAGGGGCGCCGGCCGCAGCUGCAGAGGCUUCAGUCUCAGGCCGCAAUGGUGGAGGUCGCUGCUAACACUGCUGCCGCAAGCGGGGCGGCUGCAGGUGACGGCGCGAUGGCAGCAACAACCGGUGACGAGUGGGCGGCGCUGCUGGAGGCUGCGGCGGCUGGCCUUGCGCUGCGGCCGCUGCAGCUCGUGGUCCUGUGCGGCGGCGACCUGCGCAAAGCUACAGCGUGGGUGCAGGAGCAAACCGCCCAGAUGACAGAUAGCGAGCUAGCCGCGGCCGCAGCUGCAGCGGCGGCGGCACACACACGCCAGCUGGCUACCUGGCAGCUAUCAGCUGUGGUGUCUGCGGCUGCGGGCAGCCUGCAGGCUGUGGGGUCAUGGGCUGACAAGCUGGACUGGCUGACGACAGAGCCGCCGCGGGGCCUAGGCUUCCCGCGCCCUGCUGCUGCAGCGGUAGCAGUCGUGGCGUCUGCAGGCAGCGGGAUGGAGGCGGCUGAGGUGGCGCUGCAGCGGCUGCAGUGGCUGCGUGGUGCUGGAUAUCCACUCGAUCCCAGGGUAGUAGUGGGGGCUGCAGCAAGGCGUAGUGAUUUGCGCCUACUGGAGGCAUUGCUGCGAGACCCGAGCGGACAUGUGCGCCCGGGCCGGGAGGCGGCGUACGCGGCGGCGGCUGCAGCCGCCAGGACUGCAGUGCUACCGCCACCAGCGGAUGCUACUGAUGCUGUUGGUGAGAUGGAAGGCGCGUAUGGCCACGGGCAGGUGGCUUGUGGCAUGAGCAAAGUGAGUGGCGUGCCGGCACUGCGGCUGCUGCACAAGUACGGUUGUGCCAUUGAGCCGUACGGCACCCUGCUGGUGGCGGCGGAGUCUGGCGACCUGGCCGCGGUGCGGUGGCUGCUAACGGGCCAGCAGGACGAGCAGGAGGCCCCAGAGGAGGGCGGCGAGCACAAUAGGGGCGGUGCCACAACUACCUCCCCGGUAGCGUCGCAAGUCCGGCUGGACGCGGAGGUGAUGGGCGCUGCGGCGAGCUCAGGUGCGUGAGGGUCCGAGACGUACCGUAGUGUAAUCUGCCAGAAUGUGCCAAGCAACCACCACCAUUCUUGAGCUGCUCCCCUGACGGCUGACACGCUUGCCCCGCCACCCGCCAGGCCACGUGCCGCUCAUGUCCUGGCUGCUGCGCCGCCGCGGCUGCGCCAUGGACAGAGACACCUUCCGUCGUUGCGCCGCGGGCGGCAGUGUAGCGGCGCUGCGGUGGCUGGCGGCGGCUGGCUGUGACAUUGGGGUGAGCAUCCGCACCAGGAAAGGCUGGGAGCAACGGCAGACUGCCGCGCGCGAUCCCGGGUACUCUGUGUUUGCAGUUGCGGAUGCACAUACGCCCCCUCUUGCUGCGGCUGCCCGCGCAGGACGACGGUGGUGCCUACGCCGCCGCCGCCGGCCAGGGUGACCGCCUGGUGGCCGCCGCCCUGCAGCAGCUGGGCUGCCGUAGGCCUGCAGGCGCCGAAGGGGCGAACACCGCCACGACGACAGGCUAUGCCAGGAGCGGGGGCAUGCGCCUCAGUGGGGGCGCAGGGGGCUACGGCGUGCGGCCUCCCUCUCUGGCCUAGAUCGGCACAUAAGGUUAUGGGUUGUAGCAACUAGGCGAUUUUCGUGCUCGUCAGCAGCUCGUGGCUUCCCUUCGCUCGCCCCGCGCAGAGUGGUGAGGCGCGUCGCCGGCGGCGUAUGUAGGACCUCUACGCGUGCCCCUUCGCGCGGGCCUUUGCCUGCCUGGCAACAAUGCGUAUCCGCAUUGGGCUGUAGGCCUGAGGCCUUCGUAAACAGUUUGUUUACCCUGCAAAUACUAGCUCUGGCAUGUGUAGAAGACUCGAGUGGAUGCGUAGCACCAAUGCUGUGACACGUUGCUCAAGGUGGAACGUGUUAGCUUCAGCUUUAACGCUUUAGCUUGCAGUUCCUGGUGGCUGUUGGAUACAACACGGUGUUUGAGCAUGUAUUCCCGCCGGCCCGGAGUGUGCACCAAGUUGGUAGAACCGGUUAAGACCCAGAACCAGUUCAGAGCCGCCCACAUGCUAGGUGUGGCGUACGUGCAGAGCCAGAGCGCACAACCGAAGCGCGCCUGAUUCACCACAAAGACACAAGUAACAUGCAGCUUUGGUACAACUGUCAAAACAUGCCCUGAAUGUCACAGACGUAUAAUAACAAGGAGGUGGCUGCCUUAGGGAGGCAGGAAAAGGGCUGAGCCCUCCCCUCCCGGGUCGUUAUCAACCCAGCCACCUUGACGCGGGCGCCUACUAAGCACACGCCUCUAUGUUGGGGGCCUUUGGCAUCCCCGCAAAUCCGGACGUGGCCGGUUGGGUGGGGUGCACAGUCCGUGCUAACCCGCAGCUAACAAACUAGUCACGUCACUCGCCGCCAAUCGACACGUGCACCCUCAGCCCCACGCGCCGUUCAGGCUCUCAGCCCGGCCCCGCCGCCGCCGGCGGCCAUGGCGGCCGCUGCAGCUUGGUCGGCCGCUCGAAGCCCAUCAGCUUCAGCAGGAGGAGCACACGGAUCACUUUGGCGGCACAGCAGCCGCCUUCCGUCAGCCAGCCAUGGGCGCGACCGGCCACAGCUUUUACCGUCGGUUACGAGGUAACAUGUGAAUUCGCAACUUGCGCUACUGACUGCCUACUCUCGUGCCGCCUGCAAGCCCACUCCGCCUUCCGCUCUGGUCUGCGUACGCAUUAGUUCCGCAACACUCGUCAUUAAGCUACCUAGGCCACUUUCGGCUCGCUCGACAUCAGUCAACCAUCCGCCGUCAUUGCAUCGGCAGGCCUCUGUCGAGCCUGGUUAUGCAAUUGAUCCCGCAAAACGGAACUUACUGACAAGUGUUGUGCUGCGCAGGAUGGCCAAGGAAAGGGUCCCGGGGGGGGGGGGUCAGUCUGUCUGGGACGCGCAGGCUGGGGGUGGUUUCGUGCCACCAAUAUGCACAUGCAAACUCCGGUCUGGCGCUGGACAUGAGCGAUUGACUCAACCAAUUUAACCAAUACAUCUGUUGCUUAGUGAAGUCUGCCUGUUGUGCCGACACGCAGCACUUGUGAAGAAGCACCCGCAAAUAGACAAGAAGACCGCGCGAGCGUGCUGCUUACUUCAUUGCUGCAUAUACUGUACGUAGCAUUGCUGUGUAUACAUACAGGAGCCCUUACAGGAGUCCUCGACAGUUUGAGGAAAGCAAACUGCCUGUUUCGAAACGAGUAUGAGCACGAGGCAGUAGAGGCGCAUAGUCGAAAGCCAUGCGGACCGUCGUUGCUUGGCAGGAGACACCUGUAAGUCUGGGCGGGUAGUUCCACUGCGAAGGCCAUGUUGCCUUCGCGCGGCCCAGAGCCGGCCUCGGCUGACCCUAAGCCUGCCGCUUGAUCGCAGCCCGAAAAGGACGGCGUACGCAACGUCUGCUACGACCUCUGCUUUAAGCCAGGUGCGGAGGAAAAGCCAACAUGCCGGACCGUCAACGCGACCGACCUUGCUGGGAACGGGAUGUUGACCACGGCUUCAUACCCUAUUACAAUUGCAGAUGGCUCGCAAGUUGUUGCGGGCAUUGGGAACCGUGUGCUGGUCUACGAUGCUGCGGAUGGCGACCUUCUGCACGCGUUGAAGGGCCACAAGGUCAGUGGCCUGUCAUGUCCACCCAUCACAUAUUUGAGCUGUACGUAAAGCGAAUAACCGGGUCUCUGGGCACUGCAGGACUCGAUUUACUGCGUCGCGUAUGCCCAGAACGGAAAGCGCUUUGCAUCGGGAGGCGCGGAUAAGACGGUCAUCAUCUGGACAAGCAAGGUGAGUGGAACCAGAAGGUGGGGGUGGGGGUGGGGGGCCUGGGGGUCAGGGAGGCAGCUGGGCUCCCGCGUGCGGUGUUGCCUAGACUCAGUGCGCGUGUGGAUGUGUAUGCUGAGUCUGAACCUGCUUCCGGGCCUCUUAUCACACAAACAGGCGGAGGGCAUUCUGAAAUAUACGCACAACGAUGCGAUUCAGUGCCUGUCUUACAACCCAGUCACCCAGCAGCUGGCCAGUGCCACCGGCUCGGAUGUGGGCCUGUGGUCACCGGAGCAGAAGUCUGUGGCGAAGCACAAGGUGUGGCACUUAGAGCUGUGGCAUCUGCUUGUCACAGUGCGAGCGGGGAAUGAGCUGGGGAUACAGUUUGAGGUGCAGGGGCUUGGGGCAGGCGGCUCAGGACAGCCUGGAAACGGCAGAGUGCGGCAUUGGGGCGGAACAGCGCUUUGCCGCGACUCGCUGGUGGGGCGGAAUUUACCAGCCACACAUGGAGAGGGCCCUCAACCUCUGGCCCCAUCCUUGGCCGGAGCACAAGCUCAGCGUGGAGGCGCCGUGUCUGGGCGCAGAGCCAGCUCGCGUAGAGACGGGAAUUGACGGAGGCGCCGUGUCUGGGCGCAGCAUGCCAGCUCGCGUAGAGACGGGAAUUGACGGAGCAGCAGCCCCCCCACCAGUGGGGGCGUACCCGCAGAGCUGUCUGCGCGGUCUCGGGCAGUCACGGCCAGACCGUCUGUGGCAGUAGUGGCCGCGCUGGUGUACCCGAGUUUGCCUUGAGUGCGAUGCUCAGCUCGCAUGAGCCUGUGUACCUGCCGCACUCUGCACCUCGCUGCAUUCCUUGGGACCCUUACCGCUGGGAAUCAUGCUACAACCACAUGCACAGGUGGCCUCGCGCAUCUGCUCCAUCUCGUGGACUGCGGACGGCGCCUACCUGGCGCUGGGCUGCUUUGACGGUGUGAUCAGCAUUCGCGACAAGGGCGGCAGCGAGAAGCACCGCAUUGAGACGGGGCCGUCGCCGGUGUGGAGCAUCUGCUGGAACCCCGUGGUGCGUGUGCGUGCGUGUGUGUGUGUGUCUGUGUGUGUGUGUGUGUGUGUGUGUGUGUGUGUGUGUGUGUGUAUGUGUGUGUGUGUGUGUGUGUGUGUGUGUGUCUGUGUGUCUGUGUGGAGGGCGAUUGGGGCUGUCCUCGGGGAGGACCGGCCGCACGUGAAUGGCGCAGGAGGGCGCAUUGCGGUUGCAAUUGGGCAUUCCCCAAGCUGCUGAGGGUACGAGCGUAGGGUCGGGGCAACAUCAGCGCAAGCAGUGAGGGUGGGAAAGCGGUGUAGCAGCAUGGAAAUGCAGCGAAGGGCUAAGUUUGCAGAAUGGCAGCUCAGCGGGCGGAUCUGACGGCCGUGCAUUGCUUUGCUGCAGGAGACCAACGUGCUGUGCGCGGGUUGCUUUGACGGCGUGCUCAAGUUCUACAUGAUGAGCGGUCAGCAGAAGAGCAAGGACCGCGAGCUGGCGUUCGACCCGCUGUGCGUUUCCUACUUCAGCAGCGGCGAGUACAUCACCGUCAGUGGCACGGACAAGUAAGAUAGUCUGUUGUGCGGACGGCGAACGCAACAAUUAUAAGUGGUGUGGUGCAGGCGACCGGGGCGGCUCAUCACGACACUGUGCUUCAUAUGCCCACACACCCGUACAUGCUGACACCACCGGAUCACCUGUGUCACACAAACACUCACGUGUGCAGGACGGUGCACCUGUACACGCGCGACGGCACGUACCUGACCAAGAUUGCGGACCGCGACAGCUGGGUGUGGGCGGUGCGGCCGCGGCCCAAGCACAACUUCGUGGCGGUGGGCACGGAGGGCGGCGGCAUCGCCAUGUUCCAGCUUAUCUUCUCCACAGUGCACGGCCUAUACCAGGACCGGUACGCCUACCGCGACCAGAUGACGGACGUCAUCAUCCAGCACCUCAUCACCGAGCAGAAGGUGCGGCUGCUCAUGCGCCUGGUUGGUUGGCUCCUACUUCGCUACCGCUGGGUGCAGCCUGAAGGGAGGUCCCAUCAUGGUACGCCCUCGCACUGGGUCGGCGCUUACCUGUGUCAAUGCUGUGUGCCCCCACAUCCCCAUGCAGGUCCGCAUCAAGUGCAAGGACUACGUGAAGAAGAUCGCGGUGUACAAGGACAAGCUGGCGGUACAGCUGCAGAACAAGGUGGUUAUCUACGAGCUGGCCAACGCCGACGACUUCGACAUGCACUACCAGUCCGCCACCAAGAUCCAGCAGAAGCUGGACUGCAACCUGCUGGUGGUCACCAGCCACCACGUCAUCCUGUGUCAGGUGCGGCGUCGUGACGGUCGAAUGCACGGCCGCGUGCUUGGAAGAUCUGGUUGAUUGAAUGCGCUGUUGCUGCCAGCCUCGCAUUGGCGCGCAUGCUCAUGUGCCCCCGCCCUGUUCUUAUUUGCCGCCUUGCAGGAGAAGAAGCUGCAGCUGUACAACUUCGACGGCGUCAAGGAGCGCGAGUGGGUGCUGGACAGCGUCAUCCGCUACAUCAAGGUGGUGGGCGGGCCACCCCGCCGCGAGGGCCUGCUGGUGGGCCUCAAGAGCGGCGCCAUCCUCAAAAUCUUUGUGGACAACCCCUUCCCCAUCCCGCUCAUCAAGCACACCGCCUCGGUGCGCUGCCUGGACCUGUCGGCCAGCCGCAACAAGCUGGCGGUGGUGGACGAGAACGCCAAGGUGCUGGUGUACAAUCUGAUCACCAAGGAGCUGGUGUUCGAGGAGAGCAAUGCCAACAGCGUGGCCUGGAACAGCGAGUUCGAGGACAUGUUCUGCUACAGCGGCAACGGCAUGCUGUCCAUCAAGACCGGCGACUUCCCGCUGCACCAGCAGAAGCUGCAGGGCUUCGUGGUGGGCUUCAAGGGCAGCAAGAUCUUCUGCCUGCACUACGUGUCCAUGCAGACCAUCGACGUGCCGCAGUCCGCCUCCAUGUACCGCUACCUGGAGCGCAAGGACUUCGAGUCCGCCUACCGCGUGGCGUGCCUGGGCGUCACCGAGGCCGACUGGAAGCAGCUGGCGCUGGAGGCGCUGCAGGCGCUGAACCUGGAGGUGGCGCGCAAGGCCUUCAUCCGCAUCCGCGACGUGCGCUUCGUGGAGCUGGUCAACCGCACCGAGGCGGGCCGCAAGGCCGGCACCAGCGAGCAGCUGCUGCUGGCGGAGAUCAUGGCCUUCCAGGGCCGCUACCAGGAGGCGGCGCGCCUGUUCACGCAGGCGGGCGCCGUGGACCGAGCCAUGGAGAUGUUCUCUGACCUGCGCCAGUUCGAUGAGGCCAAGAAGUGGGCGGAGGAGUUCGCGGCCAGUGGGCGCGGCGACCAGCGCAGCGUGCAGGAGCUCAUCAACCGCCAGGCGGAGUGGAGCGAGGAGGUCAAAAACUACGACGCCGCAGCGGAGAUGUACAUUAAGGUGCGGCAGCUGGGGGGACUGGCAAAGGGAUGGAAUUCAUGGGACAGUGGAGCCCUUCUCGAGUAUGUUGGGUUGUAGGCCGAUCGAGUCUAUCUCCCUCACCUUUGUUCCCUUCGUGACGCUUAACCCGCACGCACCUCUACAGGCCAAGAAGUACGACCGCGCCAUUGCCAUCCUGGCCAAGCACCAGUGGUGGGACAAGCUCAUUGGUGUGGUGCGACAGCUGGACAAGACGGACGCGCGCUGCCUGGGCAUGUGCGCCGGCCACUUCCGCCGCGCGCCGCACUUUGCGUACGCCAAGGAGACGCUGCUCAAAAUGGACGACACCAAGGUGGGCGCUGGGGGCGCAAUCAACGGGUAUGAACGCGCACCGACCGCCGAAUGUUCAGCCGGGUCACUGACUAAUGCCUUGGUGCUACCCACCUGCCCUGCCGCAAAUCGUCCCCGCAGGGCCUGAUCACGCUGUACGUGGAGGCUGAGAAGUGGGAUGACGCCUUCCUGCUGCUGCACGCGCACCCCGAGUGCCGGCAGGACGUGUACCUGCCCUACGCCAAGUGGCUCAGCAACCAGGACCGCUUCGAUGAGGCGCGGCUGGCGUACCAGGAGGGCGGCUUUCCCAGCCUGGCCACCCGCAUCCUGGAGCAGUUGUGCGCCAACGCGGUGGUAGAGACGCGGUACGCGGACGCCGCCUUCUACUACUAUCAGCUGGCCAUGGAGGCGCUCAAGGUGGGUGAGGCGCUACAGUAGGGAGGUAGAGGGAGGCACCCGCGCAUGCCCGGUGCUCAUGAGGUUACCCGUCCGCGCUGUCCGUUCCUCUCCCGCCUCAUCAAACAACACACCCAUCCCUUCGGACCUGCGCCCGCCGUGUCCCCACAGAGCAUCAAGAACCCGCCCUCCAACAUGGCGCCCUCGGACCGCUCCGCGCUGGAGCGCUUCACGGAGCUGUACGACCGCGCCGAGGUGUACUACGCCUACGAAGUGGUGCACAAGUCCGUGCACUCGCCCUUCCGCACCACGCACCCCGACACGCUCUUCAACGCCUCGCGCUUCCUGCUCAUGCGCCUGCUGCCGCCGCGCGAGGUGCCGCUGGGCGUCAGCGUGGUCAACGUGGUGUACGUGCUGGCCAAGCAGGUGAGGACGGACAGGUGCAGGCAGGAUGCAGGGGCUCAUGGUGGAGCGUGGGGCGGGGCAAGCCGAGGGUGGGCCCGAGCAUCUGCCUGUGUUCUCCCUGAAUUGUCAAUUGACUGAAAUCCCUUGCCGUCGAUCUUGCCCUGCACCCAGGCUGUCGAGGCGGGCGCCUUCAAGCUGGCGCGCUUCGCGUACAACAAGCUGCAGACGCUGGUGCUGCCGGCGGCCUGGCAGGCGGAGGUGGACCUGGCAUCCGUGGUCAUCCGCUCCAAGUGAGUGCAGGGCCUGGGCCGGAGGGGAAGUAGCCUGGUUGGGGGCAAGCACAGGGCAAGGCGGGGUUGGGGGAUGAGGCGGCAGGGGGCCCUGCAGUACCGACCGUACCAGCGCUCAAGUUGCCCACCGCUCCUGCUUGCCCUGCCCCUCUGUCACAGGCCUUUCUCAGACAAGGAGGACCUGCUACCGGUGUGCUGGCGCUGCUCCACCACCAACCCGCUGCUCAACACGCAGGGCGACUACUGCAUCAACUGCGGCGCGCCCUUCAUCCGCUCCUUCGUCACCUUCGAGCACCUGCCCGUGGUGGAGUUUGAGCUGGAGCCGGGCGUGGACGACGAGGAGGCGGGCCGCCUGCUGGGCGAGGACGCGGGCAUGGAGGCGGCGCGGCGCGAGCGCAAGGCGGAGCGGCAGGCCAAGGCGGCGGAGGUGGGCGGCAACAUGCUGCGGCUGGACCAGAACGAGAUCGACCGCAUGGACGACGCCUUCGCGGCCCAGAUGAUGGUGCCCAACACCACCAUCCGCGUGGACCGGGCCAUGCUGCGGCGGCUCAAGACGGCCGAGGUCAUGGUGCGCACCUGGCCCAACCCCGUCAUCCCCAAGCAGUACUUCCGCGUCAUGGACCAGGAGGUGCCGCUGUGCUGCGGACCCUGCGGACACUUCUUCGAGCAGGUGCGUGCCGAGAUAAGCGGCUAGGAGUACAUCAGUACUGGUGCUUGGCAAAGCGGGUGAAAAUGGGGGUGCUUGCAGAAAUUGUUCACACGGGCAAUCUUCACUUACAGUGCACGUUACUCUUUUUGUGCGCACUGUCGCUCACACCUGUCCGCUUGCGCCCUUCCCUCUGCACAGGAUGAGUUCGAGAUGGCGGCGCUGGAGCGUGGCACGGCGCCCUUCAGCCGCACCACCGUGCGCGGCGAGGGCCUGGCGCCGGGCGAGGACGCCGAGGAUGAGGGUGCCGGCGGCAACAAGCUGGGCGGGCCGUUGGGCAGCGCGCGUGGGCCCAUUGGGGGCGCCAGCAAGGCGCGCAUGUCCGUGCCCUUCCAGCAGGGCCGGCCGCUGGUGUGAGCGGGGUCGCCUAUCGGGCGCUUACCGGGUGCGUGGGUGGAUUCCGGAUGUAGGCGGGGAAUAGGAGCUGCCGGUAGUGGCGUUGCAGCAGGCCUUCGUUACGCAGCAGAGGGGGCACGAGGAGGACGUGAACGGGUGUCUUCAUGCUGCUUGUGGUCUGACUUGGUAGGACGGGCGUUGGUGCCAUCAUUAGGCUGCCCCUGCCGGUCCACCAUAGGAGCUGCGAUGGGCCUGAAGCAAGGCCCAUGCACGGUGGCCGGGCACAUGAUGCAUGACGGGACAGAGCACGGGACUUGCUGGAACCAGUGUACAUAUGCCCGCGCAGAGACUGCGUGUCUCGAAGCGGGCACAAAUUGGGACAUGUCGGCGUACAGACAAACGAUGAUGAUGACAGGAUGACAGUUGUUGUGCGGCAGGGGGGCUCCCAAGCCCAGUUGAGGCCCAGGCAGGUUUGGUUGAAUGGGGAUGCACAGUGGCAGUGCUAAUGCGCUGGCGCUAUGAGCGUCCAUGGUGUUGGCGGCCUCAAGUACAAGACACCUUAUAGUAGUUCAAUCUGCCCCGCAAGGUCUUCCCGUGCUGCUGAACCUGGCUAGCACGGUUUCCGGAGUCCGGGCCACUGAGGUCCGUAUCCUUCGCUGGGUCAGGGGAGGCGCUAGUGCAGCCAAGGUGCUACUGUGGUAACUGUGCUCUCCGCAGUGUCCGCACACUGCUGCACAGAGUGGCAGAGGCACAGCGCCACAGCCGCGCAAUUGCGUCAAGCCGUUUUAGUUCUCGGCCGUCUUUGAGGGGAUAAGGAGGAGCGUUGGCUAUGCAGCACAGCACAAAGGCAACCGGGGAGCAAACAAUUACUAACAACUGCUGCUGUUGUUACUUCAGGCUGUGGGUUGAAUUGUGGAUGCCGCGGCGCCGCCGACAUGCCGGGCUCACGGACCGGCCACAUGCUGGAACCCGUUUGCCGAGGCGUCAGAGCUGUGCAAGAGGCGGCCAGGCGAACAACUAGAGGCUGGCCGUAAAGCUGGGCCGCUGGUAGUUGACGGGGCACAGUGCCUGUUUCCGUGCCUGUUUCCAGCUUGCGUUUCCUGUUAUGAACCCGUAUGUACCGGGGAUGCCCCUCCCAGCGUGUGCGGGUCCCAUUGUCAUGUAGUGCUGUAUACCGCCAAUUGGGGCGAGGGAGGUUGCGCAAAAGCAGACAGGUAAGGGCUGGUGGCAAGGCGGGGGCUUGGCGCAAGGCUUGGCGUGGCCGAGGUGGCACUUCGGUCGCUUUUGAGCCGGUGACUGGUUACUGUACGCGGCCUGCUCUUUGCUCUCUCCACCGCUUUCAGGUUCAUCGCCCCGUGCCAGCUCGAGCCAGCUGCCCAGCUCAGCCUGGGUUGGGACAGGUUGGGAUCAUUGGUGUGAAAGUGCGAUUCGACUCGAUUGCGAAUACACCUCUCAGCGCAGGAACCCAUCGAUAGGCAAACGUAUAUAUCCUUAAACAAACAGCAGCACUCAAGCUCCGUAAAGCUUCGCGCCGCCCUCCCGCCAGUGAGAGUUUUUGCUCGGCUCUGCGCCGAGUUUGUUCCUCUCGCGGCGGGGGAUGGCGUCUAGCGGAGAUGUGGCGCUGGCCUUUGGGCUGGUGAUUGCCGCUGGUGAGGCGAGGCGGGGGUCCAAACCGCGCGGAGACUGCAUGGACCAUCACUGGCUUCCGCGCGCUCGUCCCCUUGCAUCUCGCACCUGCCUACCUAAUACUCCAAGCACAUGAUGCAAUGAUCAAGUUAAACAGCACAGCAUGGCAGGUUGCCUACAUCUCCAGUUCUGCUCGGCUGCGUGCCAGUUGGCUACUGCGCUGUUGCGGCCAUGGUCCUGGCCCCUCGCCUCAGUGCGCCCCUUGCCUCCCUCUGCCCGACUGCACUCCCCUCCCUCCUCAGGCCUGUGCACCUGCCUGGGAGCCGCCAUCGCCUUCUGCGUCAAGGUGUCUGACACACGCAUCCUGGCGGCGGCACUGGGCGUGUCGGCAGGCGUCAUGCUGUGAGUGGCCGAGUCGUGCGCGGGCGCGCGGAGGGGCGGGAGGCGGGGAGGGGGAAGGGGCCAAGGGGCCAUUAGAUUGUAAGUUCCCAAAGUGGUUAGGCAGCGGUCAGCGCAUGAUGUACAUAAUGGGUCUGGAAUGGUCUUUGCCGCGGGUGCCUGCCUGCAAGGGCGGAUGCGCUGGGUUCUGCCAGACUGCCUGCACUGAGAAAUAGUGCCCCGUCCACACUUGUGCGCUAGCAUACUGCGUUGCAGUCAUGCUCCCGUAAUGGACCGGCCCACGCCAUGGCAGGUUGGCUCGCCAGCUGCCCUGCUCCUACUCCUUUUAUUAGGCUGGGCCUGCCCCUAACACACGCACACACACACACACACGCGCGCACACACACACACACACACACACACACACACACACACACACACACACACACGCACACACACACACACACAGGUAUGUGUCAUUUGUGGAGAUCUUCACCACCAAGUCCAUUAAGGGGUUCAUGGACGCAGGAUACAGUGACAAGAGUGAGUGGGCGGCGGGGCAUUAUGGGGCAGCGGGGCACUGCUGCUUGAUGGGGUAGGAAGCGUAAGUGUAUGAUGUGGUGGUGGUGGUGAUGGUGGUGGUGAUGGUGGUGGUGAUGGUGAUGGUGAUGGUGGUGGUGCUGGUGCUGGUGCUGGUGCUGGUGGUGGUGGUGGUGGUGAUGGUGGGUGGGGGCUGCGGUGCGCGCGCGGGCGAGCCGGCGUCAGGGGUAGUGAGGCUGCGCACCCGGAGGCUACACAGGCUCCAGCGAGGCGGGUUGGGGGCUCUAGGGUUGAUCCCAGGUCAGCACGGCGUUAGCUAACAUGGACACCCCGUGCGCGUGUCUUCGUAUUUAAUGUGUAUUUUAUAUAUGAUGUCACGUCAACCCACCCUUCCGCGCUGUCUCCACCCCCAACCAGGCGCCUACCGCUACGCCACGCUGCUGUUCUUUGGCGGCAUGGCCGUCACCUGGUGCCUCAAUCAGCUCGCGCACGGCCUGCUGCACCUGGCUGCAGCCAGCCAGGCAGCCAGGAAGCGGCGGGCGGGCGGAGGCGGCGGCGGAGGAGGAGGCACCUGCGGCGGAUGCUGCCCUGCCGGCCUAUGGCUGCGGGGUGGCGGCUGGGGAUGGCGCGGCGCUGCAGCGGGUGUGGACGUUGGCAAGCAGGUGGGUGGGCGCUGCGGCAAAAGCUGUUGACCUCGUGGGAGGGGUGUCGUAGCCUCCCCACCCCCACUGCCAACCACGCCGCCUCGUGUGUGUGGCUCUGUGUGCUGCUCCCCGCUUGCAGGACGACGACACUACCCCGCCCAGCCGCCAGCAGUCCGCACUGCCUGCAGCCCCUUGCUCACAGCACCUGACCGCCCCUGCCAUUGCUACUGCGGAUGCACGCGUCGGCACCGAUGCCUGCAGCACCAGCAGCAGCACUCACGGCCCCAGCUGCAUGGCCCCCGCCCCCUCCGACGCGCCAGUCACAGUGCUGGGACUCACCGCUCCCGCGCCCGCUGACGUGGAGGCUGGCAGCGCCGGCACCGGCAUCACCCUGGCUGGCCCCGCUGGCACUGACCUGGAGCGCGAGGUGGUGGCGGUGCUGGUGGCGGCAGACGACCCACGCGACCACUCCCAUGCCCAUGGCCACACCCACAGCAGCCACCUGCACAGGCGCAGCCACGGCCUGCCCAUGUGCGUCUGCGGCAGCAGCUCCAGCCAUGGCGCCGUUGCUGCGGCCGCCACUCCGCCCUCUGACCUCACUCGCGACCCCGAGGCCUCAGCCGGCAGCCCCCCGGGUGGCGGCGGCGCUGCCUCCGAGACGCUGACAUCUUCCCAUAACCAGCUGACUCAUCUUGGCCUACUGAGCGGUCUGGCAGUGGGCAUCCACAACUUUCCUGAGGGCCUGGCCACCUUUGUGGGCACCCUGGCAGACCCCACCGCCGGAGUGGCCAUUGCGGUCGCCAUCGCAGUGAGUGCAGGGGCGCCUUAGGUGGGGUUGGCAGGGGCGUUAGCGAUCAGCGGAUGGCAGGUGGCAGGUGAUUGGUUUGUGGCUGGGCAGCCCGGCCAUCUUGUGCCAAAUGUUUUGGUUCUACCGUAUCCGAUUCCUUGUCCGCGGCCCCACUGCUUCCUUGUCUGAUUAAUCCUCCUGCCCUCCCCUCUCCCACCUGUUAUGUGUGCCCUGCAGCUGCACAACAUCCCGGAGGGCAUUGUGGUGGCCAUGCCCAUCUACUUCGCCACCGGCUCCAAGUGGAAGGGUGGGUAGAAGGGGGGGGGGGCGGGGGGGGGGCGCGGAAAGCAAGGACUGGGCGGCAAUGCUCACGCGGCAGCAGGUUCCGCAGCACACCAAGCACCGCAUUCCGUGUUUACCCUGCUCGCCUGGACCACCGGCGCAACCCCCCGCCGCCGUCAUUUGCCGCUGCUGCCGCCUGGUGCGCAGGCUUCCUGUGGUCUGUGGUUUGCGGCCUCUCUGAGCCGCUGGCCGGACUGCUGGUGAGUCAUCACGACAGUGACAGGACCAGCUUGGGCUUGAGCGCGUCGUGCGGCAUGAACUGGAGGGAGCUUUGAGGCCCGCCCGCAUCUGUGCCUGCGCCCUGAAGUUCUUCCUCCCGUGUGUACAUGCUCCGGGCCGCAGGGCUGGCUGAUCCUGCGCGGUCGCGACUCAGACCCCCUCAUGUGAGCGCAGUGCGGGCUGUAGGGGCUCGGACCUAGGGGAGCGGGACCGGGACUUUGGGCAAGGCUCUGGGCAAAAUAGUGAGCAUCUUAGGGUAUCGUGGCAGCUGUAGAGGAGCGGCAGCCGCUGUCCCCGCGAGCAGUCCCGCUGUCUAUCCGUCUGCUGCACACGGUGCCUUUCCCCCUAACCUAACCACACCUCCACCUCCACCUCCGCCCGCCUUCGCCGCCCCCCGCUUGCAGGUACGGCGUCAUGUUCGCGCUGGUUGCCGGCAUGAUGGUGUACAUUGCCGCGGUGGAGCUGCUGCCCACGGCCCUGCGCUACGACCCCGCCAACCGCUUCACCACCCGCGGCCUGGUGGUGGGCAUGGCGGUCAUGGCCGCCAGCCUGCUGCUGUUCAGCGCCACAUGAUAAGGACAGGAGGCAGAGGGCAGGAGGCAGGCGUUGGGGCGCGGAGCGAGGGUCCGGGGGGACGCUGAGGGUGAAGCAGGAGCACAACUGGGCUGGGGCGCGUGCGGUGUCAGGGUGCGCAGGACUGGAUGCGGAAGGGGUGCGGUGCAGGAGAGGGCAUGCUUGUGGGUCAAGUUCUUGAUGUCUGUCUUGCAGCAGUGAGCUGUUGGCCGUGGCGUGACUAGCUACGGGUCGCUUCACGGCGGCGCGUGCUCACCCAAACACAUGUUGCGCCUCAGCGCUAUAAGUAGCACACGCGUUCUGCAGCCAUGACUGCUGUGAUUGGGAGUGUGUGCUGCAGCGUGUGUGUGCAGAGUAUGGAGGAAAGGUUGAUCCUGUCUGUCGCGCCCGUACGUGUGUAAACGGACAUUCUACGUGGCCCUAAUACCGUGGGGGCAUGUCGCACCCGGGGGGCAACUGUAACUAACAACUGCUGCGUGUGAGAGGCACAUGCGAGGCACAGCCUCAGCCUGGGGCCGCAGGUGGCCGUCAUGGCCGUCAACCGUAAGUGCGUGCAUCGGUGCAUGUAGCUGAGGUGGCGUGCUCUGGUGGCAGGAAGCGGGGCCAGCCCGUGGCACGCGGAACAAACUAUUACAGUCCCAAGCCGGCUUCAUCAAUAGCAUGGAUGGCUUUAUUGGGUCCUUUAUUUAUCGCGCAUGGCAACCGCUCAAGCCGUGCCGGCCCAUGUGUUGCCAUGUCAGUCAGCGCACUCCGCCCUGCCGCCUCUGCCGUCUCGACCAAACUAGGGACAACUUGGCAACUCCUCUGCCGCGCAUCGGACCUCCUACCGCACCGCCUCAAUCAACGCAACGCAGCCACCAGCCCGGGACCCAUUCAUCCCCAGCCCAAGUAUACAAUUGUGUGUAUUGGUACACGAGCCUGGUAUCACCCAACACGCAACGCAGUCCUGCCGUGUCCGUGUGUAAUACCGCACGCGCGUAUACCAGGAAAGAAGGUCUGGGACAAACGCCCACCGCCAAGUCUUUCGCCAUGCGGUGGGCGCUCCUUGUCCAGCACCCAGCGGCGGCCACAACUCCUGUGCCCAACACCCCCUUGCUCACCAAUGACCCGAUGACCGAUGCCCAUGCGGCGCUAUUGGCACGCACGUGAGGCACGACAUCCACCUAAACGAAAUAAUAUGCUAUGCGACUCUCAAUGACCCGCCUUCUUCCGGCAGUGUUGGACCAGCUGGAUAUGGCUGGCCUGCAACAGGGAUUCCGUGCACCCACCACACCUCAACAAGGAGAGGUUCACACACACACAUCACACCGCAAACCACACACUACCUAUCACGUUCACCACGUGUAUGCAGGCGAACCUCUGCAGCACUGCAACAACUUGAUAAUUGCCUGCAGCCAUCUUGGUGCGCCUCUACACAACGAUACUAUCACCAUGCCCCAAUUCUUCCCCUGUGCAUCUCUGACCAAGCCAUGUCGAGCCCUUAACCGGCAUGCUCCAGAGGCUCCAUAGACUAGGUCCCGCAAAACCCGCACCAAACGGCUUCAUCCACCGACGUUUGCUUCUCAUCAAAACUGCCGUCCCUCCUCCAGGUGCAUUGCCGAUUUACACCUGCCGCUCGCGUAAUCCUUUCGGCACGAAACAAACAGAAGUUGAAAUACCAAAACCGCUCUUGUUCUCUUCUCUCCUUUUUCGGCUGGCAUGUUGCCGCGCAGCGUGCUGUGUUGCUGUGGUGUGCUGUGUUCAUGCGCAUUAGGUAGUCGUGCUACUACAACCAACCCGAAGAAAGGGAACGCCAGCCGCGGCCAAAAAUCGCAGGCACCAUGAUGCGACCGGCUCACCCGCUGCCGGAUGGGGGCGCGUUUAGAGGUGCUUGCCGAUCAGGUCGGUCAGCGCCUUGAUCUGAAGCAGGGGACGGGGGGUAGGGGAGGGCAGCGAGGGGGAGGGGAUGAGGCAACACGGGGAUCUGAGCUGAGGGCAGGACACAGUAGGGUAGUUGGUGUGCAGAAGGAUUGCUGGCACUGCAUUUAUGGGGAUUGGACAGCGCGCAGUCCCCGCUUUAGAGGCCAGACCCGCCCCUGCCCUGCGGCAUCACAAGAUCGAGCCUACAACAGGGCGACUGGCGGCCACACCUUGGCGCCUGUCAUGCUGUCAAUCUGCUUGCUGUUGCGGUAGAGGUGGAAGGUGGGCAGCGCCUUGAUGUUUAGGGCCAUGGCCAGCUUCUUGGACUCGUUGGUGGCACCUGAGAGCAGUAGCCGGGCACGGGGAGAAGCGCGAGCUGCUUUGUAGCAGCAGGAUGGCAUGUGUGUGUGUAGCCGCCCAAGCAACGGCAGGCACCCACGUCUAGGGCUAGAUGUUCCUCAAGCUUAGCACGCUCCCGCCGUGGACUCACCGCAGUCCAUCUUGGCAAACACAACCUGGCUUGCGUCCAUCUCAUUAGCCAGGCGCUCGAUCUCCGGCGCAAUGACCUUACAGGGGCCGCACCUGAAUGCAGGAGACAGGUUGAGCAGCAGAGCGGGCUGCGUCGACUCCUAUUCUUGCAGCCGAUGCUACUUUCUCGCGCGCGCCGAUGUAACGCCCCCGCACUAUACAACAUGGCAAACCCUUUUGUUGCAAUCGUCACGAGUGGUGCUCACCAGACGGCAUAGAAGUCCGUAACCACAAGCUUCUCAGCAUUCUUCUCCAGGAAGCCGUGGUACGUGUCGGCGGUGAGGAUGUGCACCCCGUUUGCGAUCGCGACCUCGCCGACUGCCUGCUCAGUCGCUGUCACCGCCGACGCGGUUGCGGCGCUGGACAGCGGCGCAGCGAGGCGCUUACGAGGCACGGCCACAGCCACGGGCCGCAGCGCAGCGCGGGCAGCGCGCCCUGCAAAACAGAAAGCCGAACGAACGACACAUGCGUGAGUCCGCGACCAAGGUCCGCCCUUUUGCAAAAACGACCCAGUAACCAUUAGAGGUUACAACCAAGUACCCAUGGAAGUCCUCGUUUCAGCGCGCGCCGCAAAGCUCGGCCUCCCAGGCGCCAUUCGCUCUUGGCGCGUGUUUGGGCGCACUCCCUUGCGCACUUCACGCAUCCAGACGCAUUGUGCUCACCUGAGCGGAGAGCGCCAGCAGAAGGGGAUGCGCGGACGCAAGGAGUUGCCAUGGCGCUCAAUAUGGGCAAGAAGGAAGAAACGAAGGCGAGCGGUGGGCUGCCUGCCUCGACGUAAGUGCAAGCGGGUGAGGUUGUAAGCACGGUGCUGAUUGCAGCAAUUCUGGCGGCCUUGACAUCAAAAAGGUCGGAUGCUGACAUCGGACAAGUCACCGAAACAGAUCCAAACGACCCCAAUCCGGGCUGUCGCAAGUCCAGUCCAAAGAAGCAGAAGCUGUGUCGCUCUCAUUCACGCUAUCGACAAUCUCUGUGGGACAAGUUAGCGACCCUUCGUCGACCCUUAUGUGACCGACUGUGCCGCCCGCAACUUGCAGGACAUGCAAAACUUGCAGGACAUGCAAAAUAUUGCCUUGACGGGCGAACGAAAAGGGUUCGGGGAUGUAAGGUCAGCGUGAAGGUCACUGUACCGCAUACCCACGCCGGCGCCUGCAGACUGCCAACCUUUGUAUUCCUAUCUAGAGCUCAAAGCACAAAGCAUAAUGGUGAACUGCUGACGCUACCUCAGCGGCGGUGGUGUGCAGACAUGUGCUUACAGGUUGACCAUGGUCCAUACAGUAGUGGAGCACUCUUGCAUUGCAUUCACGCUAGCUUACAUUUCUCAGUAUCUUCGAUAACAGCAUGGCGGGGACACUUUCCCCUGGUCUUGCACGCUUUUCUUCGGCCCAACGGCGCGCGGGCGUGGCGGCAGCGGGACGGACAGCAGCCCGUCGCGCGGGCGCGGGGGCAGCCGAGCGCGCGGGCGUGGCGGCAGGCGGGCGCACAGCAGCCCGUCGCACGGGCGCGCGGGCAGCCGAGCGCGCGGGCGUGGCGGCAGGCGGGCACACAGCAGCCCAUCGCGCGGGCGCGCGGGCAGCCAAGCGCGCGGGCGUGGCGGCAGGCGGGCACACAGCAGCGGAGGGAGCAGCAACGAAGACGGUGACCAGCGUGGGCCCCGUGGCGGGCCGGGCCGGGCACCCGGGGACAACCCAGUGCCGGGCGUGGUCGCGGCCGGCGAUCCGCUGGCUGUCUUUGAGCUGGCAACCCUAGCACCAUGCGCAUCGUGGGCGUUGAUCCCGGCGUAGGCAACUACCUGGUGGCCUGUGUCGGGUCAAUGCCAGGCUUCUCACCGCACAGCUACAGUGGCCGGCCACGAGCCGCGCACAUCUGGCGUGGCCCAGAUGGCCAGGCUCCUGGGCCUGCCCAGCCCCCACUGCAGCGACGGCGGAAGCGGCAGCAGCGGCGGCAGCAGCGACAGCAGCGACGGCGUCGGGGGGCGGGAGGUGGAAGGGCAAGAGGCGAGAGUGGCGGGGCACGCGCCAGCACACGCAUCAGCGUGCCGCAACAGAACGGCGCCGCCAGCAGCGCGCCUGCUUUACCCGGCUGUCUGGCGCUGGCUACCGCCACUGCACAGUCCAGACAGGCCGUCGGCUGUGGCUGCAGGCAUGGCUAGCGGAGCAGCCGGCAUUCAAGCGCUGUCAGGCGGGGAUACCCAGCGCGCGGGUGGCGUCGGCAGCUGAGCAUGAGCUGCGAAUACGCCAUCUCUACUCUGGAGGUGGCGUGGACGCGGCGGCGGCUGCCGGGUCUGCGCCUGCGCCAGUGCAACAGUACCGUGAUCUGCUUUCGACAUUUUCUUCGGUUCGCUCGGAUGGAGUCUCGACAGGACGACAACCCAACUUUGACUCUGCCUAACUUUAGCCAUGCAACUGGUACUACCUCAGUUAUCUACUACCGGGGUGCUAGAAGUUCGGUGCUAUUCCGCUCACUUGCUGUGUAGCAGUCGUACCUAACGGUUUGCUGCAGCUUUUGCUAUCCCGCCUGUGUCCUGUCAGUUCGUCCCAGAUCCAUUCCCCAUCCGGAACGUGGGGUGAGAUUCGGAUGCACGUCUUCUCUCAAAAUUUACAAACGUUGACAAGUCCCAGCGCAGCUAGCCGCUCCUGCGCCUGUCGGGACCUUGCCUGCUGCACGGCCAGACCGCACACAAAACCCACCGCUCCCAAACAACUCAAGCUCCACCAGACCACACAAGACGACCCAAAUAAACCGCUCAGACCUGCAUCCCUAUUGGUACAUCAAAACUGUGCCGCCAGGGCAUUUACUGGGGGGUGAACUUGGUGGCGUAGGCGAAGGCGUUGUUGGUGCCGGGGUUGGCCAGGUGGUCGGACCUGUGGAGCGGGCACGAGGAGCAUAACAUCACCGGGUAAACUAAGAUGGGAGUGCAAGUAUCAACUCGAAUUAAUGUUUAAUCCGCGUAGGUUAGCGCGGCUGGGCAUUUAUGGCAAGCAGCGUGCUGCACACACCGCGACUCAUGUUAUGUCACCCUAGGCCCCCAUCCCUACUCACAGGUUCUGCAGGGGGCCCUUGCCGGUCACGAUGGCCUGAACGAAGAAGCCGAACAUGGAGAACAUGGCCAGGCGGCCGUUCUUGAUCUCCUUCACCUUCAGCUCAGCGAAGGUGUCGGGGUCGUCAGCCAGGCCCAGGGGGUCGAACGAGCCACCGGGGUACAGCUUGUCCUGCAACGCGGAGGGAGCAAGGGUGGGCAAUGAUGCCAUGCACAACGUCCACGAACCGUGCAUUGCUACUGACGCAACCAGACAACACAAACCGAAACUGUCCCAUGUGUUUUGAGGGAAGCUUCCCUUCACAGCGAACCGCACUCACCAGGCCCUCGCCCAGGGGGCCGCCGUUGACGCGGUAGCCCUCAAUGGCGCCCAUCAGCAGCACCUGGGUGCCCAGGAUGGCCAGGAUGGACUGGGCGUGCACCAGGUUGGGGUUGCCCAGGUAGUCCAGACCGCCCUCCUGGAAGAUCUGAGCACCAG
Molecule: long non-coding RNA, 26067 nt
Filed under: Chlamydomonas reinhardtii
Lineage: Eukaryota; Viridiplantae; Chlorophyta; Chlorophyceae; Chlamydomonadales; Chlamydomonadaceae
Description: long non-coding RNA (CREI_LNC000085)
Source: RNAcentral